ACUGUGGUUCAGUGGUAGAGUGCUCGCCUGGCGUGUGUGAGGCACUGGGUUUGAUUCUCAGCACCGUA
RNAcentral lists this transfer RNA (68 nucleotides) under Marmota monax (woodchuck). RNAcentral describes it as "tRNA.Ala". The record is from RNAcentral. Lineage: Eukaryota; Metazoa; Chordata; Mammalia; Rodentia; Sciuridae.